CCUGUCGUCGCCCCCGCGCCUGGGAUGCGGCCUCUCGGGUCGUAGUCACCCUCGCCCGCGCCUCCGCCCACCACCGCCCCGUUCCCGGUCGCUGCCGCCACCGCCGGGGCUCAUGCGGGACCCGCGCCGCCUUCUCCGGAAGCCGGGCCGGGACACGGCGCGCCUGGGCCGCCGAGAACCCGACGCUCGUCGCCAGCCGCCGCUGUCGGUGCGCGCCGAGGGGUUGCGGAGCCGCCUGGCAGGGGCUGCAGGCCGCGAGCGACGCCGAGGAGGCGCUGAGGGUCGGCGGAGGCGAAGCUAAGCGGGCAGCGGGCGGCUGCGCAGCGGCGGGGCGCACGAGCGAGGGCUGGGUGGUGCGUCGCGGUCUAGGCGGAGAGGGAGCGGGCCCUGUCGUCUCCCAGAGUCACCCCGAUCCCAGCGCCACCAUCUUGGGAGGAACACUGAUCUCGCGACCGCGGCGCCAAACGGGAGGACGGGCUGGGCGGGCCGAGUAUCCCGGCAGGCAGCGCGCGCCGCCCGGCCGGGCGAGGGCUUCAAGCCGAGACGCGAGGAGUCGGGGCCGGACGGAACGCACGCGGAGGGCGCCGCGCUCGGCCCCACCCCCGGCCAGCUCGCCCCCCUCCGGCUUCCCGUCGCCCCCGGCGCAGGGGCGGCUGGGAAGGGGAGAUGAGGGCUCGCGGCUCGGCCGAACCCACCGGGGCCGGCCGCCAUCUUAGGACUGGGCAAAGGGGUUAACACUCACCUCACUCUGUGCUGUCGGUGGCCGAGCAGAAAGAACCAGAACUCUGCCAGGCCUUGAGAAGCAAUAAAAGAUCGACAAUCUCUAUCCCUGCUCUCAAGAAAUCAGUUCAAAAGGAAGUAAAAGUUGUGCUCUAAAAGGAGUGGAGCGAAGCCUGAUGGUGGCAUGCACCUGUAGUGCAAACUGUUCAGGAAGAUGGAUCAAGAGAUCACUUGAGCCCGGUUCAAGACUUCAAGGCCAGCCUAGGCAACAUAGCAAGGCCCUAUCUCAAG
RNAcentral lists this long non-coding RNA (1011 nucleotides) under Heterocephalus glaber (naked mole-rat). RNAcentral's name for it is "lncRNA (ENSHGLG00100042294.1)". The record is from RNAcentral. Lineage: Eukaryota; Metazoa; Chordata; Mammalia; Rodentia; Bathyergidae.